UGAAUAUGGGGGGACCAUCCUCCAAGGCUAAAUACUCCUGACUGACCGAUAGUGAACCAGUACCGUGAGGGAAAGGCGAAAAGAACCCCUGUGAGGGGAGUGAAAUAGAACCUGAAACCGUGUACGUACAAGCAGUAGGAGCACCUUCGUGGUGUGACUGCGUACCUUUUGUAUAAUGGGUCAGCGACUUAUAUUCAGUGGCAAGGUUAACCGUAUAGGGGAGCCGUAGCGAAAGCGAGUCUUAACUGGGCGCUCAGUCUCUGGAUAUAGACCCGAAACCGGGUGAUCUAGCCAUGGGCAGGUUGAAGGUUGAGUAACAUCAACUGGAGGACCGAACCGACUAAUGUUGAAAAAUUAGCGGAUGACUUGUGGCUAGGGGUGAAAGGCCAAUCAAACUCGGAGAUAGCUGGUUCUCCCCGAAAGCUAUUUAGGUAGCGCCUCGGACGAAUACUACUGGGGGUAGAGCACUGUUAAGGCUAGGGGGUCAUCCCGACUUACCAACCCUUUGCAAACUCCGAAUACCAGUAAGUACUAUCCGGGAGACACACGGCGGGUGCUAACGUCCGUCGUGGAGAGGGAAACAACCCAGACCGCCAGCUAAGGUCCCAAAGUAUUGCUAAGUGGGAAACGAUGUGGGAAGGCUCAGACAGCUAGGAUGUUGGCUUAGAAGCAGCCAUCAUUUAAAGAAAGCGUAAUAGCUCACUAGUCGAGUCGGCCUGCGCGGAAGAUGUAACGGGGCUAAGCAAUACACCGAAGCUGCGGCAAUGUCUUUUAGA
RNAcentral lists this ribosomal RNA (776 nucleotides) under Vibrio cholerae. RNAcentral describes it as "partial 23S ribosomal RNA". It matches the Rfam family "Bacterial large subunit ribosomal RNA", at positions 439 to 1219 of the family's 2925-position model. The record is from RNAcentral. Lineage: Bacteria; Pseudomonadati; Pseudomonadota; Gammaproteobacteria; Vibrionales; Vibrionaceae. RNAcentral also lists the same sequence under 2 other names.